ACUUACAGCGUCAUAAUCUAAUCAUUGUUAACCAAGACCUACACAUAUAUUUUUGAGGAUAUUUCUGGGGGCAUUUUUAGACAAAUAGCUCGACUGACAUUAUCUUUUUAUCUACUGAUUCUGUUCUACGUGCUGCAAAGGCAGAAUUCCAGCAGUGAUGUUUCCCUGUUGGUCCUGGGUUGUAAUGGGAAUUAUGGAGAUCAAAAAAUGGUUGGAGGAGAAAGAAGACAAGCCUAAAAGGCAGUAUAUCAUUAACCCAGAGGAUUUGGGUACAGACGUGGACACCGGUCUCCGUGAGGAGGAAUUCGAUGCUUAUGUGUCUGAGGAGAUUGACAAUAUUAUUGCACAGAUUCAAGCUUCU
Long non-coding RNA from Saccostrea echinata, 361 nucleotides. RefSeq lists it as uncharacterized. Lineage: Eukaryota; Metazoa; Mollusca; Bivalvia; Ostreida; Ostreidae. The record is from RefSeq and is a predicted model, not a curated record. The transcript has 3 exons.